RNAcentral lists this ribosomal RNA (557 nucleotides) under uncultured bacterium. RNAcentral describes it as "bacterial SSU rRNA". It matches the Rfam family "Bacterial small subunit ribosomal RNA", at positions 102 to 694 of the family's 1533-position model. The record is from RNAcentral.
ACGGGUGAGUAACGCGUGGGAAUCUACCGUGCCCUGCGGAAUAGCUCCGGGAAACUGGAAUUAAUACCGCAUACGCCCUACGGGGGAAAGAUUUAUCGGGGUAUGAUGAGCCCGCGUUGGAUUAGCUAGUUGGUGGGGUAAAGGCCUACCAAGGCGACGAUCCAUAGCUGGUCUGAGAGGAUGAUCAGCCACAUUGGGACUGAGACACGGCCCAAACUCCUACGGGAGGCAGCAGUGGGGAAUAUUGGACAAUGGGCGCAAGCCUGAUCCAGCCAUGCCGCGUGAGUGAUGAAGGCCUUAGGGUUGUAAAGCUCUUUCACCGGAGAAGAUAAUGACGGUAUCCGAAGAAGAAGCCCCGGCUAACUUCGUGCCAGCAGCCGCGGUAAUACGAAGGGGGCUAGCGUUGUUCGGAAUUACUGGGCGUAAAGCGCACGUAGGCGGAUAUUUAAGUCAGGGGUGAAAUCCCAGAGCUCAACUCUGGAACUGCCUUUGAUACUGGGUAUCUUGAGUAUGGAAGAGGUAAGUGGAAUUCCGAGUGUAGAGGUGAAAUUCGUAGA